RNAcentral lists this long non-coding RNA (965 nucleotides) under Hordeum vulgare. RNAcentral describes it as "long non-coding RNA (HVUL_LNC002620)". Lineage: Eukaryota; Viridiplantae; Streptophyta; Magnoliopsida; Poales; Poaceae. The record is from RNAcentral.
CAAAGCUCGUAGCUAGAGUUAGUCAUCAAUGUAGAAAGCAUUGCCUUAAAAAUGAAAGAAGUCAUGUUGAUACAAAAUGCUCCUGGCUUGUAAAACAACACGACGUCAAAGACAUGCAUGUUGAUUCCUUGAGUGUGCACAUAUACAUAAUAUAUCUUUAAAAAGAGAAAAGAAAACCGGAAGGCCAUAGCUUGCAUCAGGCAUCCAACAACGGACUUCAUGGUUAAUCCCCACCACUGACAACUAUUACAUGACCUCAUGAAUAAGUAAUCGGCCGAUUUGGGAGCCAGACAGAAUGAUGCUAUUUGCUGGCUCGGUUGGUGUUACUAGCAUUGCUGUAGGUGAACUAUGCCGGUCCUUUUGGUGGUUAAGCGAAAAACGUCGCUUUCCACCGUUUGUCAUCCUUCAAGAUUAUGUUCUGAUUCGUCUCGCUGCCUUAGCAGCUUACUUCGCGUAGAAAGACUCCUAAUUUAAGUAGACAUGGUCCAGGUGACGUUUAGUGGAAGAAAAUGGCCAGAUAAUCCACGAAUGGGUUUGAUAGGGUGUUUGACUUCAAUAAAAUCUCUCAUGGGUGUGCUGUUAUACAACAUGGGAACACUAAAAAAUAUUUCCAGUGGAACAUGGCCUUGAAUUUUCGUUUCCUCCAAAAUCUUAUGGUAAAAUCUUAUAUGAGUCAAAUUAAUGGAAGUGAAGCUGAAGGAAUCCCGUUCAAACCCGAACAGUGGGAAUGAUAUCCCUGAUGAAGCAUACAUAUAUAAAUAGUUGCUGCAUGCCAGCCAGCAGAGUACAUCGUUUCAACAAUUUUUUGAUCAUGCAUUUUACCUUGAUUUGACUUAUAAAAGGACAUCAAAAGCAUGAAGGUAACUUGCAAUUAUAAAUUGCCUGUUUAGACCUUCAAACUUUUUUUGUCAGGAUUCCAUAGUAGAAAGCUACUGGAUAAAUGAUCUGCUCAAACUACCCAUUGG